CAGGGAAUCUUGCACAAUGGGCGAAAGCCUGAUGCAGCGACGCCGCGUGGGGGAUGAAGGCCUUAGGGUCGUAAACCCCUUUCAGCAGGGACGAAAAUGACGGUACCUGCAGAAGAAGCCCCGGCCAACUACGUGCCAGCAGCCGCGGUAAGACGUAGGGGGCGAGCGUUGUCCGGAUUUAUUGGGCGUAAAGAGCUCGUAGGCGGUUGCGUAAGUCGGAUGUGAAAACUCAGGGCUCAACCCUGAGACGCCAUCCGAUACUGCGCUGACUUGAAUCCAGUAGGGGAGUGUGGAAUUCCUGGUGUAGCGGUGAAAUGCGCAGAUAUCAGGAGGAACACCCAUGGCGAAGGCAGCACUCUGGGCUGGUAUUGACGCUGAGGAGCGAAAGCAUGGGUAGCGAACAGGAUUAGAUACCCAAGUAGUCCCUGAGCGGGCUGGCAAGGCGCAU
This 448-nucleotide ribosomal RNA is filed under the name uncultured bacterium. RNAcentral's name for it is "bacterial SSU rRNA". It matches the Rfam family "Bacterial small subunit ribosomal RNA", at positions 355 to 825 of the family's 1533-position model. The record is from RNAcentral.